GACGAACGCUGGCGGCGUGCUUAACACAUGCAAGUCGAACGGAAAGGCCCUGCUUUUGUGGGGUGCUCGAGUGGCGAACGGGUGAGUAACACGUGAGUAACCUGCCCUUGACUUUGGGAUAACUUCAGGAAACUGGGGCUAAUACCGGAUAGGAGCUCCUGCUGCAUGGUGGGGGUUGGAAAGUUUCGGCGGUGUGGGAUUGACUCGCGGCUUAUCAGCUUGUUGGUGGGGUAGUGGCGUACCAAGGCUUUGACGGGUAGCCGGCCUGGGAGGGUGACCGGCCACCAUGGGACUGAGGUACGGCCCAGACUCCUACGGGAGGCAGCAGUGGGGAAUAUUGCACAAUGGGCGGAAGCCUGAUGCAGCGACGCCGCGUGCGGGAUGACGGCCUUCGGGUUGUAAACCGCUUUGGCCUGUGACGAAGCGUGAGUGACGGUAAUGGGUAAAGAAGCACCGGCUAACUACGUG
This 468-nucleotide ribosomal RNA is filed under the name uncultured bacterium. Its description in RNAcentral is "partial 16S ribosomal RNA". It matches the Rfam family "Bacterial small subunit ribosomal RNA", at positions 28 to 507 of the family's 1533-position model. The record is from RNAcentral.